GACGAACGCUGGCGGCGCGCCUAAUACAUGCAAGUAGAACGCUGAAGAGAGGAGCUUGCUCUUCUUGGAUGAGUUGCGAACGGGUGAGUAACGCGUAGGUAACCUGCCUGGUAGCGGGGGAUAACUAUUGGAAACGAUAGCUAAUACCGCAUGACAUUGAUUAUCGCAUGAUAAUUGAUUGAAAGAUGCAAUUGCAUCACUACCAGAUGGACCUGCGUUGUAUUAGCUAGUUGGUGAGGUAACGGCCCACCAAGGCGACGAUACAUAGCCGACCUGAGAGGGUGAUCGGCCACACUGGGACUGAGACACGGCCCAGACUCCUACGGGAGGCAGCAGUAGGGAAUCUUCGGCAAUGGGGGGAACCCUGACCGAGCAACGCCGCGUGAGUGAAGAAGGUUUUCGGAUCGUAAAGCUCUGUUGUAAGAGAAGAACGGGUGUGAGAGUGGAAAGUUCACACUGGACG
This 463-nucleotide ribosomal RNA is filed under the name Streptococcus sanguinis. RNAcentral's name for it is "bacterial SSU rRNA". It matches the Rfam family "Bacterial small subunit ribosomal RNA", at positions 28 to 474 of the family's 1533-position model. Lineage: Bacteria; Bacillati; Bacillota; Bacilli; Lactobacillales; Streptococcaceae. The record is from RNAcentral.